Long non-coding RNA from Amphimedon queenslandica, 416 nucleotides. RefSeq lists it as uncharacterized. Lineage: Eukaryota; Metazoa; Porifera; Demospongiae; Haplosclerida; Niphatidae. The transcript has 2 exons. The record is from RefSeq and is a predicted model, not a curated record.
UCUCCCGUAUAUCUAGGUAAUAAACAGAGACAAACAAAAUGGCUCCUCAGUUGAAAGGACUGCUCUACCGUUCCAUAAAGCGAGAUUUAGCCCUGGGGUUCUUGAUCUCGUUCUCCGCAGGUUCAGUCUGGUUGUUUGGAGUCUUUUUCCCUCGGAGGAAGAGAUACGAGGACUUCUAUAAAAACUAUGACGCCAAAGCAGUGGCCGAGUCUAUGAAAGCUUCUUGGGAAGAGUGAAGGAUCUACAUAGUCUCUCACCGUCUCAAACUGAACUAGUUGCAAACUUUCAAUGUACUUAUAGCUUAAUGACAUUAUCUAGUAGACUAGAGUAUUUUAUUAUUAAUAAUUUAUCAUAAUAAUAAUAAUGAUUGUAAAAAUUAUUUAUCAGCUGAGAGCUGAUUGGUGAGUUGCACUGUA